RNAcentral lists this ribosomal RNA (626 nucleotides) under uncultured fungus. RNAcentral describes it as "eukaryotic LSU rRNA". The stretch from base 209 to 362 matches the Rfam family "5.8S ribosomal RNA". Lineage: Eukaryota; Fungi. The record is from RNAcentral.
UAGGGGCAUGUGCACACCUGACACCAACUUUUCUUACCACCUGUGCACUUUUUGUAGACUUGGAAUAACCUUGCGAGGAAACUCGGUUUGAGGACUGCUGUGUGCAAAGCCAGCUUUCCUUACACUUUCCGGUCUAUGUUUCAUAUAUACGCCAAUUGUAUGUUACGGAAUGUUAUUUUAAUGGGCUUAAUUGCCUUUAAAUCUAUACAACUUUCAACAACGGAUCUCUUGGCUCUCGCAUCGAUGAAGAACGCAGCGAAAUGCGAUAAGUAAUGUGAAUUGCAGAAUUCAGUGAAUCAUCGAAUCUUUGAACGCACCUUGCGCUCCUUGGUAUUCCGAGGAGCAUGCCUGUUUGAGUGUCAUGAAAUUCUCAACCUUAUCAGCUUUUACNGGCUGAUAAGGCUUGGACGUGGGAGUGUUGCGGGCUUCCUAACAGAGGUCGGCUCUCCUUAAAUUCAUUAGCGGGACCUUUUUUGGUUGCCUUGACCCUUUAGUGUGAUAAUUAUCUACGCUAUUGCCAAAGUGACCUGGUACAGCUUCUAAUCGUCUUUCUCUGUGAGACAAUGUUUAUGACAAUUUGACCUCAAAUCAGGUAGGACUACCCGCUGAACUUAAGCAUAUCAAUA